This 26-nucleotide non-coding RNA is filed under the name Mus musculus (house mouse). Lineage: Eukaryota; Metazoa; Chordata; Mammalia; Rodentia; Muridae. The record is from RNAcentral.
UCUUGCUGGUCAAGAGCGGACGCGAC